UGGGGAAUAUUGCACAAUGGGCGCAAGCCUGAUGCAGCCAUGCCGCGUGUGUGAAGAAGGCCUUCGGGUUGUAAAGCACUUUCAGCGGGGAGGAAGGGAGUAAAGUUAAUACCUUUGCUCAUUGACGUUACCCGCAGAAGAAGCACCGGCUAACUCCGUGCCAGCAGCCGCGGUAAUACGGAGGGUGCAAGCGUUAAUCGGAAUUACUGGGCGUAAAGCGCACGCAGGCGGUUUGUUAAGUCAGAUGUGAAAUCCCCGGGCUCAACCUGGGAACUGGAUCUGAUACUGGCAAGCUUGAGUCUCGUAGAGGGGGGUAGAAUUCCAAGUGUAGCGGUGAAAUGCGUAGAGAUCUGGAGGAAUACCGGUGGCGAAGGCGGCCCCCUGGGCGAAGACUGACGCUCAGGUGCGAAAGCGUGGGGAGCAAACAGG
Molecule: ribosomal RNA, 429 nt
Filed under: Chloroflexota bacterium
Lineage: Bacteria; Bacillati; Chloroflexota
Description: Chloroflexi bacterium partial 16S ribosomal RNA
Rfam family: Bacterial small subunit ribosomal RNA
Source: RNAcentral